RNAcentral lists this ribosomal RNA (473 nucleotides) under uncultured bacterium. RNAcentral's name for it is "bacterial SSU rRNA". It matches the Rfam family "Bacterial small subunit ribosomal RNA", at positions 335 to 799 of the family's 1533-position model. The record is from RNAcentral.
ACUCCUACGGGAGGCAGCAGUGGGGAAUAUUGCACAAUGGGCGCAAGCCUGAUGCAGCCAUGCCGCGUGUAUGAAGAAGGCCUUCGGGUUGUAAAGUACUUUCAGCAGUGAGGAAGGUGGUGCAGUUAAUAGCUGUAUCAUUUGACGUUAGCUGCAGAAGAAGCACCGGCUAACUCCGUGCCAGCAGCCGCGGUAAUACGGAGGGUGCGAGCGUUAAUCGGAAUUACUGGGCGUAAAGCGCAUGCAGGUGGUUUGUUAAGUCAGAUGUGAAAGCCCGGGGCUCAACCUCGGAAUUGCAUUUGAAACUGGCAGACUAGAGUACUGUAGAGGGGGGUAGAAUUUCAGGUGUAGCGGUGAAAUGCGUAGAGAUCUGAAGGAAUACCGGUGGCGAAGGCGGCCCCCUGGACAGAUACUGACACUCAGAUGCGAAAGCGUGGGGAGCAAACAGGAUUAGAUACCCUGGUAGGAUAGCG